AGCAGCCGCGGUAAUUCCAGCUCCAAUAGCGUAUAUUAAAGUUGUUGCAGUUAAAAAGCUCGUAGUUGAAUUUCGGGAUCAAAUUGUUGGUCGUGCCUCGGUACGCACUGGUAUUAUUGGUUCCUACCUUCUGAAGAACCGCGAUGUCAUUAAUUUGGUGUCGUGGGGAAUCAGGACUGUUACUUUGAAAAAUUGAGUGUUUAAAGCAGGCUUACGCUUGAAUACAUUAGCAUGGAAUAAUGAAAUAGGACGUUUGAUUCUAUUUUGUUGGUUUCUAGGAUUGACGUAAUGAUUAAUAGGGAUAGUUGGGGGCAUUAGUAUUCAAUUGUCAGAGGUGAAAUUCUUGGAUUUAUUGAAGACUAACUACUGCGAAAGCAUUUGCCAAGGAUGUUUUCAUUAAUCAAGAACGAAAGUUAGGGAUCGAAGACGAUUAGAUACCGUCGUAGUCUUAACCAUAACUAUACCGACUAGGGAUCGGAUGAUGUUAAUUUUUAUGACUCAUUCGGCGCCUUACGGGAAA
RNAcentral lists this ribosomal RNA (520 nucleotides) under uncultured Glomus. RNAcentral's name for it is "SSU rRNA". It matches the Rfam family "Eukaryotic small subunit ribosomal RNA", at positions 569 to 1097 of the family's 1831-position model. Lineage: Eukaryota; Fungi; Glomeromycota; Glomeromycetes; Glomerales; Glomeraceae. The record is from RNAcentral.